This 459-nucleotide ribosomal RNA is filed under the name uncultured bacterium. RNAcentral's name for it is "partial 16S ribosomal RNA". It matches the Rfam family "Bacterial small subunit ribosomal RNA", at positions 338 to 795 of the family's 1533-position model. The record is from RNAcentral.
ACUACGGGAGGCAGCAGUGAGGAAUAUUGGUCAAUGGACGGAAGUCUGAACCAGCCAUGCCGCGUGCAGGAAGACGGCUCUAUGAGUUGUAAACUGCUUUUGUACAAGGGUAAACCUGAAUACGUGUAUUCAGCUGACAGUACUGUACGAAUAAGGAUCGGAUAACUCCGUGCCAGCAGCCGCGGUAAUACGGAGGAUCCAAGCGUUAUCCGGAUUUAUGGGGGUUAAAGGGUGCGUAGGCAGAUUGGUAAGUUAGAGGUGAAAUGUCCGAGCUUAACUCGGGACCUGCCUCUAAUACUGUUGAUCUAGAGAGUAGAUGCGGUAGGCGGAAUGUAGGGUGUAGCGGUGAAAUGCUUAGAGAUCAUACAGAACACCGAUUGCGAAGGCAGCUUACCAAUCUAUAACUGACGUUGAGGCACGAAAGCGUGGGGAGCAAACAGGAUUAGAUACCCCUUAGUC